ACAACUCAAUUUUUAUUUUUCACUAUUUUUCUUCCAAGCAAGCAUUCAUUUUCAUUCUUUCUAUUUUUGUUCUUUUCUUUCACAUCAAAUAUACAAAACAGAUGUUUCUUUUCUAUAUUUUCUAUACAUAUAUUUUUCUAUGCUUGCUCGGUUUUUCUUUUCUUUUUCAAGAGUUGUGGUACUUACCGAUUCUUUUUCGUUCUCCCCAACUUAUUUCUUACUCACCCUAAGUGAAUGCUCUUAACUUUUUACGGCAAAAGAACAAUAAUCAAGAUUUUCCGGGUUGUAAAAAAAAGAUUUUUGAGAUCUCGCUUUAUUUCAAGCCGAGAUUCAACUGUUUAAGCUCAAAGGGGUUAACAAAUACUCUCUCUGCUCACAGGUAAGUUGUUUUUGGAUGUAGUUGUGCUCGAAAGAAA
RNAcentral lists this long non-coding RNA (416 nucleotides) under Lathyrus oleraceus (garden pea). Its description in RNAcentral is "Pisum sativum (pea) long non-coding RNA (PSAT_LNC002799)". Lineage: Eukaryota; Viridiplantae; Streptophyta; Magnoliopsida; Fabales; Fabaceae. The record is from RNAcentral.